AUGUCAGAGAAGUUUGAGAUGUCUAUGAUGAGUGAACUCAAAUUCUUUCUUGGUUUGCAAAUCAAGCAAACUAAGGAAGGUACCUUUGUCUAUCAAACAAAGUAUACCAAGGACCUUUUCAAGAAGUUCAACAUGAAAGAAAGCAAAGGUACGAAAACACCCAUGCCUACUAGUGGACAUCUUGACUUGACUAAGGAUGGCAAACCGGUUGACCAAAAUUUUUUACCGCUCUAUGAUUGGAUCAUUGCUAUAUCUAUGUGCCUCCCGUCCCGAUAUUAUGCUAGGUGUGUGCAUGUGUGCAUGAUAUCAAUCGGCCCCUAA
RNAcentral lists this ribosomal RNA (321 nucleotides) under Triticum aestivum (bread wheat). Its description in RNAcentral is "partial small subunit ribosomal RNA". Lineage: Eukaryota; Viridiplantae; Streptophyta; Magnoliopsida; Poales; Poaceae. The record is from RNAcentral.